Molecule: long non-coding RNA, 807 nt
Organism: Alligator sinensis (Chinese alligator)
Lineage: Eukaryota; Metazoa; Chordata; Crocodylia; Alligatoridae
Exons: 3
Source: RefSeq, a predicted model, not a curated record
AAUAAAUACUCCUCUAGAUGCCAUCUGCCUAAUGUGCAAAUUAAGAGAGGCAGAGGGUGUAUUCACUGCUUGGGUCAACAUUUUCAAGAAGCCCUAGCCCUCUGAAAAACGUGAUAAUCAACAUUUUCUGAUCAUUUAUUUCCUGUGCUUCCUUUCCUUGUUUCCUCUGCAAUGACUGCCAAUGGUUUUGUGUGUUCUGCAGAGAACAGACAGCACAGUAAGCACCGGCUCUGGCUGCAACACACCCGUCUUUCCCAAUUAAGCAAAGCAAAGACUGCAGGUGGUCAUCUGGCCUCCACCCAUCACCAACAAACCCAGCUGCUGCGAACAAGCACUGAGCACAGCGCUCACUUCCUAAUCCUCAGAAUAAAAGGGGUCCUAUUUAAUUUUCAUAGAAACCAGUGGCAAGGUCCUCCUGACUUUGAUGCUCAGAACAAGCCCACCCAAAGAACAAAACAUGAUCUCAGACCAGAACAAGAGUCAUUUUAAAGCUUCAGCAAUUCUUUAAUAAACUGUAGAUGAUAAAUAUCAGUAUUAAAUCCAGCCAAUUUUUUUUUUUUUAAUUCAGGCAAAUAUAGAAACAAAACUCCAACAGUGGAGUAAUACAUGGGAAUUGCAUGUUCUUACAUAUUUACAAAGGAGAUGAUAUACAACAAUUCUUAUAACUUAUCAGCAGUACUAUCAAUAUGGUGUUCAUAUAUGUUAAGUCUCAAACAAUCUGGCUAGAGACACUAGCUUACUGACUGGUCAACAUGCGUAUAUUAGCUGGAACUGCUUUCACUUCUUUAUAAUACAAGAAAAUAAGAA